CCGGCCGGGUGGCCGUCUGGGCGACCCCGGCGCUGGAGACGGCGGUCGCGGUGGUCGCGGCGCUGCUCGCCGGA
RNAcentral lists this transfer RNA (74 nucleotides) under Streptomyces griseoviridis. RNAcentral describes it as "tRNA-Ser". The record is from RNAcentral. RNAcentral also lists the same sequence under 1 other name. Lineage: Bacteria; Bacillati; Actinomycetota; Actinomycetes; Kitasatosporales; Streptomycetaceae.